Molecule: ribosomal RNA, 465 nt
Filed under: Vreelandella stevensii
Lineage: Bacteria; Pseudomonadati; Pseudomonadota; Gammaproteobacteria; Oceanospirillales; Halomonadaceae
Description: partial 16S ribosomal RNA
Rfam family: Bacterial small subunit ribosomal RNA
Source: RNAcentral
CCUACGGUGGGCUGCAGUGGGGAAUAUUGGACAAUGGGCGAAAGCCUGAUCCAGCCAUGCCGCGUGUGUGAAGAAGGCCUUCGGGUUGUAAAGCACUUUCAGUGGGGAAGAAAGCCUUGGGGCUAAUACCCUCGAGGAAGUACAUCACCCACAGAAGAAGCACCGGCUAACUCCGUGCCAGCAGCCGCGGUAAUACGGAGGGUGCGAGCGUUAAUCGGAAUUACUGGGCGUAAAGCGCGCGUAGGCGGUCUGAUAAGCCGGUUGUGAAAGCCCCGGGCUCAACCUGGGAACGGCAUCCGGAACUGUCAGGCUAGAGUGCAGGAGAGGAAGGUAGAAUUCCCGGUGUAGCGGUGAAAUGCGUAGAGAUCGGGAGGAAUACCAGUGGCGAAGGCGGCCUUCUGGACUGACACUGACGCUGAGGUGCGAAAGCGUGGGUAGCAAACAGGAUUAGAUACCCCAGUAGUC